UUGACCUCGGAUCAGGUAGGAAUACCCGCUGAACUUAAGCAUAUCAAUAUAAAGGGAGGA
RNAcentral lists this ribosomal RNA (60 nucleotides) under Fusarium sp. 7-4. RNAcentral's name for it is "partial 28S ribosomal RNA". Lineage: Eukaryota; Fungi; Ascomycota; Sordariomycetes; Hypocreales; Nectriaceae. The record is from RNAcentral.